Non-coding RNA from Cherax quadricarinatus, 3353 nucleotides. The record is from RefSeq and is a predicted model, not a curated record. Lineage: Eukaryota; Metazoa; Arthropoda; Malacostraca; Decapoda; Parastacidae.
AAUUUGUAUAUGAAAAUUGACUGAUUUGAUGAGAGAAAUAUCAGUGUAUUAGAAUGUUUUUUGUUUUACAGACGAUGUGAGUUUAGUGGAGACAGCGAGUAUAAGCAGUUAUUGUGGAAAGGUUUGUGAAGGUGACUAGUUUGCGGCUGAUUGAUUGAAUCAAUGACGGAGUUUUGUAGUGAUGGAAUGUGAUGAUGUGUUAGCGCCAAGAGUGACAGUCAGUCAGUCAGUCAGUCAGUCAGUCAGUCAGUCUAUGAGACUGACUGACUGACACUGACUACUAGCUAACUUGCUUUGUUAUAAGUUGAGUAUUAUUAUUUUAUGUUUUUGUAAAUUGUUUGAGGAGUCUUAAAGGGUACUACGUGUAGGGAGGUUGUUGUUGAGAGGAUGAAGAUUAGUUUUAGAUGCAGAAGGAAGAAAGUAAAGUAAGUUUUUGUGCAUUUAGGGUUGAAACACUGAAUAAAUAAUGAUGGUCGUAUCCCAGACUUGUCAUUAUUAAUUUUUGAUCAAGUGUAUAUGUAAUGUGGGAGUUAUGUAUACAUUUGUUGUUUGAGUUCUUAAUAUUAAAUUAAUUAGUUAUUGAUAUAAUGGCGGGCAUAUAUGUAGUGUAGGAUCAAUAAAAUAUUUAUUAUUUUUUUCAGUUUAAGAAAUAUGUCAAUUAGUGGGUUAGAUAUUAAUACUUGAAAAAUUUACAAUUAUUUAUGAGUGAAAUGUCAUUAAUAUAUUUAAAUAUAUUUUUGUUUUUUUUCGAGUUGUUUAAGGAAAUAUUGUUGAAAGGUAUGUAGAGUGGAACGUCAAAUAUCCAAAUUUCUUUGGUGCAGAAGGCUAUUAAUACCUUUACAGAAUGAAUUAUUCCCGUCAAGAAUAAUGUAAAUUAGAAUAUUCCAUUUCAGACGUUAAAAAAUAUUUAUAAAAGCACUUAAGAAAAUACACUUAGAUAAUAUGUCGUCUUUGGAGUAAUUUGAUUUUUGAGGUUCCAUUGUAUUUAUUGUUGAAUUGUUUAUGUAAAUACUGAAAAUAUUAAGUGAUUAAGUUAUCAUUUGUUUCAGGUUGAGUGAUGGAAGUGACGAUUUAGUUAAAUGGUCAAAUUUAGUUGUGCGAGUUGUGUUGAGGCAGAGAGUUGAAGCAACUAAUUUAGAAAGGCAAGUGUUGUUAUUAUUUAGUUGUAGUAUUGAAAUGUUUUUGACUAUUGGCAAGUAAUUAAUGUAUUUUUUGUUAUUGCAGGUGAGAGUUUUUGAUAAGAUGAUUGGUAGUGUUGUUGGGAGUUUGGCAGAGACAGAGAAGGUUGUUGGAAGUGUAUGGUAGCAGCAACAGCAGUGGUGGUGGUGUGGGUUAAGAUAUUAUAUAGAUCAUGUUAGAGAGAGGGUUUUAAUGAUUUGUAAAAUAAUUUUUCAUAGUUAGUUAGUUAUUGAAUGAAAGGGAGGUAUAAUAGGUUUUGGUGACUUGUGGAAUGAGCAUUGUAAAAGCCAUAAUGACUUUGAACACUGAAAGAGUGAAGAUACUGCUGGUGUCCAGAGCAAAUUUUCAUUAAUGCCUACAAACAUACAGAGUUAAUGAUGAAGGUUGCAUCCCAGACUUUUCAUUGUUAAUAUGACUGCAAGUGUAUAUAUAAUGUGGGAGUUUAUAUAUGUUUGUGGUGUUUGAGGCAUUGUGUGGAGGGUUGCGUUUUGGAAAUACCGGGUAUUAAUGUACUCUGGAUGGGUUGAUUUGUCACUGUGAAAUGGUUAGUAACAUUGUUUGUGAAACAUGAUACCAAUAAAUAGAAGUUAUUAUAAUAAAUGUGAAUUGGUAGGAUUAUAGUGUAGGGAAGGGGGGGUUGGUUAUGUCUGGAAGGUAGUGAGGGUUAAUUGUGGGAAGUUGAGGAUAGAUGCAAUUCCGUAAAUGAAGAGCCCUUCAGCAAUGUUGCUGAACCUCAUGUGAGGGUUGUAGGGUUUGUUAGUUUUUUGAUGUAAUAAAUUUUUUUAAUAAGUCAGUUUAUAUAUAUUUUGUUCCUAUUUGAAAGUUAUAUUUGUGAAAUGCGAAAAAGUACAGAAUAAAAAUUUAUUUUUUGAUUUGUUAUAGGUGUAAUAUGUAUAUAAAAGUUAAUGAAAUUUCAAAUUAAAAUUAGAGAAACUGUAGAAACGACUUAGAAAUAAAAAAAAGAAAUGUAAAUUUAAAGAAUUUAGAAAAGAUAUAUAAAAAUUUAUAAAUUGAAAAAGUUUAAUUAAUUUUGUUGAGAUAGUUUAGAUAAAAUUUAGAGAGAUUGUUUGUUAUAGAAAUGUAAUUAGUAGUUGAAAUGAUUAGUUUUUAGCAAUGAUUGAUUGAUUUAAUUUUCAAAGUGUGUGUUUGAAUAGAAUAGGACAAAACUUGUAAUAUUUGAAGUAAAUGUCAUGAUAAUAAUAGUUCCAAUAAUAUGAAAUUAAACCAUAACUGCGGCUGGGAUUGAACCCGCGGUCACUCCAAACUACAGACUGUUUUUGAAAAUGAAUAUAUUAUUGACAAAGUUGAAUAAAACGUUUAUCCAAAUUUGUUAGAAAUGAAUAAUAUGGUUUCAUGUCAUGUGUGAAUAUAGAAAUUAUAAUUUAGGUAUUUUGAGCAUUUACAGAGAAAUAUACAAAGUAUGUUUUUUUAAUGGAAAGAUAAAUAUAGAAAUAUUUACAAUGAACAGUUGAAAUCAUGUUUAUUAACUUGAACAAGUGUAAAUUAUUGUUUCAACGUCAUUUAGAGAAAACUAGUCAUGAAAAUGAAGGAAAUGGUCAAAGUGCUUUGAGCAAAAACAUUGUUGUUUAUUUUAUUCAAUAAAAAAUUACUUGUUACAAAUCACAUUCUGAAUCAUAGUGACAACAAAUAAUUUGAGUCCCUUUGUUUUAUAAGAAACCCUAGUUGAUUUUAUACAUUUUAAAUUCCAGUCAGUCUGUUCACAUUGCACUUUGAAAAAAGAAGUUAGUAACCAGCCAUAAAGACGAGCCCCACACCCUUUCACAAUACUCGUCUGAAAAAGUGUGCUACCAGGAUUUUUAAUACGAAUACAUUCUCUAUAAAACUCGAUGUCAAACAUCUUUUUGCAUAAUUCAGAUAUAUAUAUAUGAUAGAUGGGAAAAGGGUACAACAGAAUAAAACUAGAUUACAAAGAUCGUCAAAGAUGACAGAGCGUCUAAUGAAUUUACUUUCAUGACAUUUGCUGCUAGAAAAUUUAAAACCCGUGUGUCAUGGGCCCAAUUAGAAACAAACAAAGUCAACCACAUUUCAUGGCCUACACCAGCAAUAAAGUUGUUUGGUCGAGGGUCCAAUUGCCAUUUCGAUGGCAAAAAGUGUCCUUAUAGGUGAUGUCAACAAUUUCGCCAGUAAAGUAGUGUCGUAAAUGACAUGGCGAA